This 2931-nucleotide ribosomal RNA is filed under the name Enterobacter asburiae. Its description in RNAcentral is "23S ribosomal RNA". It matches the Rfam family "Bacterial large subunit ribosomal RNA". Lineage: Bacteria; Pseudomonadati; Pseudomonadota; Gammaproteobacteria; Enterobacterales; Enterobacteriaceae. The record is from RNAcentral.
GGGUUGUGAGGUUAAGCGACUAAGCGUACACGGUGGAUGCCCUGGCAGUCAGAGGCGAUGAAGGACGUGCUAAUCUGCGAAAAGCGCCGGCGAGGUGAUAUGAACCUUUGACCCGGCGAUGUCCGAAUGGGGAAACCCAGUGUGUUUCGACACACUAUCGUUAACUGAAUACAUAGGUUAACGAGGCGAACCGGGGGAACUGAAACAUCUAAGUACCCCGAGGAAAAGAAAUCAACCGAGAUUCCCCCAGUAGCGGCGAGCGAACGGGGAGCAGCCCAGAGUCUGAAUCAGCUUGUGUGUUAGUGGAACGGUCUGGAAAGUCCGGCGAUACAGGGUGACAGCCCCGUACACGAAAAUGCACAGGCUGUGAACUCGAAGAGUAGGGCGGGACACGUGGUAUCCUGUCUGAAUAUGGGGGACCAUCCUCCAAGGCUAAAUACUCCUGACUGACCGAUAGUGAACCAGUACCGUGAGGGAAAGGCGAAAAGAACCCCGGCGAGGGGAGUGAAAAAGAACCUGAAACCGUGUACGUACAAGCAGUGGGAGCACCUUCGUGGUGUGACUGCGUACCUUUUGUAUAAUGGGUCAGCGACUUAUAUUCUGUAGCAAGGUUAACCGUAUAGGGGAGCCGAAGGGAAACCGAGUCUUAACUGGGCGUUAAGUUGCAGGGUAUAGACCCGAAACCCGGUGAUCUAGCCAUGGGCAGGUUGAAGGUUGGGUAACACUAACUGGAGGACCGAACCGACUAAUGUUGAAAAAUUAGCGGAUGACUUGUGGCUGGGGGUGAAAGGCCAAUCAAACCGGGAGAUAGCUGGUUCUCCCCGAAAGCUAUUUAGGUAGCGCCUCGUGAACUCAUCUUCGGGGGUAGAGCACUGUUUCGGCUAGGGGGCCAUCCCGGCUUACCAACCCGAUGCAAACUACGAAUACCGAAGAAUGUUAUCACGGGAGACACACGGCGGGUGCUAACGUCCGUCGUGAAGAGGGAAACAACCCAGACCGCCAGCUAAGGUCCCAAAGUCAUGGUUAAGUGGGAAACGAUGUGGGAAGGCACAGACAGCCAGGAUGUUGGCUUAGAAGCAGCCAUCAUUUAAAGAAAGCGUAAUAGCUCACUGGUCGAGUCGGCCUGCGCGGAAGAUGUAACGGGGCUAAACCAUGCACCGAAGCUGCGGCAGCGACACUAUGUGUUGUUGGGUAGGGGAGCGUUCUGUAAGCCGUUGAAGGUGUGCUGUGAGGCAUGCUGGAGGUAUCAGAAGUGCGAAUGCUGACAUAAGUAACGAUAAAGCGGGUGAAAAGCCCGCUCGCCGGAAGACCAAGGGUUCCUGUCCAACGUUAAUCGGGGCAGGGUGAGUCGACCCCUAAGGCGAGGCCGAAAGGCGUAGUCGAUGGGAAACAGGUUAAUAUUCCUGUACUUGGUGUUACUGCGAAGGGGGGACGGAGAAGGCUAUGUUAGCCGGGCGACGGUUGUCCCGGUUUAAGCAUGUAGGCGGAGGUUCCAGGUAAAUCCGGUACCUUAUUAACGCUGAGGUGUGAUGACGAGGCACUACGGUGCUGAAGUAACAAAUGCCCUGCUUCCAGGAAAAGCCUCUAAGCAUCAGGUAACAUCAAAUCGUACCCCAAACCGACACAGGUGGUCAGGUAGAGAAUACCAAGGCGCUUGAGAGAACUCGGGUGAAGGAACUAGGCAAAAUGGUGCCGUAACUUCGGGAGAAGGCACGCUGAUAUGUAGGUGAAGCCCCUGCGGGUGGAGCUGAAAUCAGUCGAAGAUACCAGCUGGCUGCAACUGUUUAUUAAAAACACAGCACUGUGCAAACACGAAAGUGGACGUAUACGGUGUGACGCCUGCCCGGUGCCGGAAGGUUAAUUGAUGGGGUUAGCGGUAACGCGAAGCUCUUGAUCGAAGCCCCGGUAAACGGCGGCCGUAACUAUAACGGUCCUAAGGUAGCGAAAUUCCUUGUCGGGUAAGUUCCGACCUGCACGAAUGGCGUAAUGAUGGCCAGGCUGUCUCCACCCGAGACUCAGUGAAAUUGAACUCGCUGUGAAGAUGCAGUGUACCCGCGGCAAGACGGAAAGACCCCGUGAACCUUUACUAUAGCUUGACACUGAACACUGGUCCUUGAUGUGUAGGAUAGGUGGGAGGCUUUGAAGCGUGGACGCCAGUCUGCGUGGAGCCGUCCUUGAAAUACCACCCUUUAAUGGCUGGUGUUCUAACGUAGACCCGUAAUCCGGGUUGCGGACAGUGUCUGGUGGGUAGUUUGACUGGGGCGGUCUCCUCCCAAAGAGUAACGGAGGAGCACGAAGGUUAGCUAAUCCUGGUCGGACAUCAGGAGGUUAGUGCAAUGGCAUAAGCUAGCUUGACUGCGAGAGUGACGGCUCGAGCAGGUGCGAAAGCAGGUCAUAGUGAUCCGGUGGUUCUGAAUGGAAGGGCCAUCGCUCAACGGAUAAAAGGUACUCCGGGGAUAACAGGCUGAUACCGCCCAAGAGUUCAUAUCGACGGCGGUGUUUGGCACCUCGAUGUCGGCUCAUCACAUCCUGGGGCUGAAGUAGGUCCCAAGGGUAUGGCUGUUCGCCAUUUAAAGUGGUACGCGAGCUGGGUUUAGAACGUCGUGAGACAGUUCGGUCCCUAUCUGCCGUGGGCGCUGGAGAAUUGAGGGGGGCUGCUCCUAGUACGAGAGGACCGGAGUGGACGCAUCACUGGUGUUCGGGUUGUCAUGCCAAUGGCACUGCCCGGUAGCUAAAUGCGGAAAAGAUAAGUGCUGAAAGCAUCUAAGCACGAAACUUGCCCCGAGAUGAGUUCUCCCUGAGACUUUAAGUCUCCUGAAGGAACGUUGAAGACGACGACGUUGAUAGGUCGGGUGUGUAAGCGCAGCGAUGCGUUGAGCUAACCGAUACUAAUGAACCGUGAGGCUUAACCUUACAACGCCGAAGGUGUUU